RNAcentral lists this ribosomal RNA (589 nucleotides) under uncultured bacterium. Its description in RNAcentral is "bacterial SSU rRNA". It matches the Rfam family "Bacterial small subunit ribosomal RNA", at positions 336 to 916 of the family's 1533-position model. The record is from RNAcentral.
CUCCUACGGGAGGCAGCAGUGGGGAAUUUUGCGCAAUGGGCGAAAGCCUGACGCAGCGACGCCGCGUGGAGGAUGAAGACCCUUGGGUCGUAAACUCCUGUCAGGUGGGAAGAACAGCGCCCGGUUAACAGCCGGGUGACUUGACUGUACCACCAGAGGAAGCCCCGGCUAACUCCGUGCCAGCAGCCGCGGUAAUACGGAGGGGGCAAGCGUUGUUCGGAAUUACUGGGCGUAAAGGGCGUGUAGGCGGCCGAUCAAGUCGGGUGUGAAAGCCCUCGGCUCAACCGAGGAAUUGCACCCGAUACUGAUGGGCUAGAGUCCGGGAGGGGGUAGCGGAAUUCCCAGUGUAGCGGUGAAAUGCGUAGAUAUUGGGAAGAACACCAGUGGCGAAGGCGGCUACCUGGACCGGAACUGACGCUGAGGCGCGAAAGCUAGGGGAGCGAAUGGGAUUAGAUACCCCGGUAGUCCUAGCUGUAAACGAUGGGCACUUGGUGUGGCGGGUACUGACCCCUGCCGUGCCGGAGCAAACGCGUUAAGCAGGCCACCUGGGGAGUACGGUCGCAAGGCUAAAACUCAAAGGAAUUGACGG